This 369-nucleotide ribosomal RNA is filed under the name uncultured bacterium. RNAcentral describes it as "bacterial SSU rRNA". It matches the Rfam family "Bacterial small subunit ribosomal RNA", at positions 30 to 403 of the family's 1533-position model. The record is from RNAcentral.
AUUGAACGCUGGCGGAAUGCUUUACACAUGCAAGUCGAACGGUAGAGGGGGCAACCCCCUUGAGAGUGGCGAACGGGUGAGUAAUAUAUCGGAACGUGCCCAGUCGUGGGGAUAACGUAGCGAAAGUUACGCUAAUACCGCAUACGAUCUAAGGAUGAAAGCGGGGGAUCGCAAGACCUCGCGCGAUUGGAGCGGCCGAUAUCAGAUUAGGUAGUUGGUGAGGUAAAGGCUCACCAAGCCAACGAUCUGUAGCUGGUCUGAGAGGACGACCAGCCACACUGGAACUGAGACACGGUCCAGACUCCUACGGGAGGCAGCAGUGGGGAAUUUUGGACAAUGGACGCAAGUCUGAUCCAGCCAUUCCGCGUG